AUACGUAGGGGGCUAGCGUUAUCCGGAAUUACUGGGCGUAAAGGGUGCGUAGGUGGUUUCUUAAGUCAGAAGUGAAAGGCUACGGCUCAACCGUAGUAAGCUUUUGAAACUAAGAGACUUGAGUGCAGGAGAGGAGAGUAGAAUUCCUGGUGUAGCGGUGAAAUGCGUAGAUAUUAGGAGGAAUACCAGUUGCGAAGGCGGCUCUCUGGACUGUAACUGACACUGAGGCACGAAAGCGUGGGGAGCAAACAGGAUUAGAUACCCUGGUAGUCCACGCCGUAAACGAUGAGUACUAGCUGUCGGGGGUUACCCCCCUCGGUGGCGCAGCUAACGCAUUAAGUACUCCGCCUGGGAAGUACGCUCGCAAGAGUGAAACUCAAAUGAAUUGGCGGGG
RNAcentral lists this ribosomal RNA (394 nucleotides) under uncultured bacterium. RNAcentral's name for it is "partial 16S ribosomal RNA". It matches the Rfam family "Bacterial small subunit ribosomal RNA", at positions 523 to 918 of the family's 1533-position model. The record is from RNAcentral.